UGGGGAAUAUUGGACAAUGGGCGCAAGCCUGAUCCAGCCAUGCCGCGUGGAUGAUGAAGGCCUUAGGGUUGUAAAGUCCUUUUAACGGGGAAGAUAAUGACGGUACCCGUAGAAUAAGCCCCGGCUAACUUCGUGCCAGCAGCCGCGGUAAUACGAAGGGGGCUAGCGUUGCUCGGAAUCACUGGGCGUAAAGCGCACGUAGGCGGACUCUUAAGUCAGAGGUGAAAUCCUGGAGCUCAACUCCAGAACUGCCUUUGAUACUGGGAGCCUUGAGUUCGGGAGAGGUGAGUGGAACUGCGAGUGUAGAGGUGAAAUUCGUAGAUAUUCGCAAGAACACCAGUGGCGAAGGCGGCUCACUGGCCCGAUACUGACGCUGAGGUGCGAAAGCGUGGGGAGCAAACAGG
This 404-nucleotide ribosomal RNA is filed under the name uncultured bacterium. Its description in RNAcentral is "bacterial SSU rRNA". It matches the Rfam family "Bacterial small subunit ribosomal RNA", at positions 355 to 776 of the family's 1533-position model. The record is from RNAcentral.